AGUGAACGCUGGCGGUGGGCCUAACACAUGCAAGUCGAACGGCAGCACAGUAAGAGCUUGCUCUUACGGGUGGCGAGUGGCGGACGGGUGAGGAAUACAUCGGAAUCUACUUUUUCGUGGGGGAUAACGUAGGGAAACUUACGCUAAUACCGCAUACGACCUACGGGUGAAAGCAGUGGAUCUUCGGACCUUGCGCGAUUGAAUGAGCCGAUGUCGGAUUAGCUAGUUGGCGGGGUAAAGGCCCACCCAGGCGACGAUCCGUAGCUGGUCUGAGAGGAUGAUCAGCCACACUGGAACUGAGACACGGUCCAGACUCCUACGGGAGGCAGCAGUGGGGAAUAUUGGACAAUGGGCGCAAGCCUGAUCCAGCCAUACCGCGUGGGUGAAGAAGGCCUUCGGGUUGUAAAGCCCUUUUGUUGGGAAAGAAAAGCAGCAGGUUAAUACCCCGCUGUUCUGACGGUACCCAAAGAAUAAGCACCGGCUAACUUCGUG
Molecule: ribosomal RNA, 492 nt
Filed under: uncultured bacterium
Lineage: Bacteria
Description: partial 16S ribosomal RNA
Rfam family: Bacterial small subunit ribosomal RNA
Source: RNAcentral